AUUGAACGCUGGCGGCAUGCCUUACACAUGCAAGUCGAACGACCGCACGGGUGCUUGCACCUGCUGGCGAUAGGCGCACGGGGGAGUAUUACAUCGGAACAAGUCCUCUAUUGGGGGGUAGCACCGCGAAGGCCCGAUUACUACCGCAGACUAUCUUCGUAAGACAGCUGGUGCACCACGGGACUCGCGCUUUGCGGUUGGCCGAUGGCUGAUUAGCUAGUUGGUAGGGUAAAGGCCUACCAAGGCGACGAUCAGUAGCUGGUCUGAGAGGGCGACCAGCCACACUGGAACUGAGACACGGCCCAGACUCCUACGGGAGGCAGCAGUGGGGAAUUUUCGACAAUGGGCGAAAGCCUGAUGCAGCAAUGCCGCGUGUGUGAAGAAGGCCUUCGGGUUGUAAAGCACUUUUGUCCGGAAAGAACAACUUGGCACGUAUACAGUCGGGGGAUGACGGUACCGGAAGAGUAAGCACCGGCUAACUACGUG
This 486-nucleotide ribosomal RNA is filed under the name uncultured bacterium. RNAcentral describes it as "partial 16S ribosomal RNA". It matches the Rfam family "Bacterial small subunit ribosomal RNA", at positions 30 to 507 of the family's 1533-position model. The record is from RNAcentral.